RNAcentral lists this ribosomal RNA (500 nucleotides) under uncultured bacterium. Its description in RNAcentral is "partial 16S ribosomal RNA". It matches the Rfam family "Bacterial small subunit ribosomal RNA", at positions 30 to 523 of the family's 1533-position model. The record is from RNAcentral.
AUUGGACGCUGGCGGCAUGCCUUACACAUGCAAGUCGAACGGCAGCACGGGAGCAAUCCUGGUGGCGAGUGGCGAACGGGUGAGUAAAGUAUCGGAACGUGCCCAGUCGUGGGGGAUAACGUAGCGAAAGUUACGCUAAUACCGCAUACGAUCUAUGGAUGAAAGCGGGGGAUCGCAAGACCUCGCGCGAUUGGAGCGGCCGAUAUCAGAUUAGGUAGUUGGUGGGGUAAAGGCUCACCAAGCCGACGAUCUGUAGCUGGUCUGAGAGGACGACCAGCCACACUGGGACUGAGACACGGCCCAGACUCCUACGGGAGGCAGCAGUGGGGAAUUUUGGACAAUGGGCGCAAGCCUGAUUCAGCCAUGCCGCGUGCAGGAUGAAGGCCUUCGGGUUGUAAACUGCUUUUGUACGGAACGAAAAGGUUUGACUUAAUACGUUGGACUCAUGACGGUACCGUAAGAAUAAGCACCGGCUAACUACGUGCCAGCAGCCGCAGUAA